GUGCUUACUUUGGUAGCACAAGAACUAAAAUUGGAAUAAUACAGAGAAGAUUAGCAUGGCCCCUGGACAAGGAUGACACAGAAAUUCAGUGAUCCAUAUUUUA
This is a small nuclear RNA of Cavia porcellus (domestic guinea pig), 103 nucleotides long. The record is from RefSeq and is a predicted model, not a curated record. NCBI's taxonomy places the organism in Eukaryota, Metazoa, Chordata, Mammalia, Rodentia, Caviidae.